CCUACGGGCGGCAGCAGUGGGGAAUAUUGCACAAUGGGGGAAACCCUGAUGCAGCGACGCCGCGUGCGUGAAGACGGAUUUCUGUAUGUAAAGCUCUAUCAGCACGGAGGUAAAUGACGGUACCUGACUCAGAAGCCCCGGCUAACUACGUGUAAGCAGCGGCGGUAAUACGUAGGCGGCAAGCGUUAUCCGGAUUUACUGGGUGUAAAGGGAGCUUAGACGGUCAGACAAGUCAGAAGUGAAAGUGCAGGGCUCAACCCUGGGACUGCGUUUGCAACUGCCGGGCUAGAGUGAAGGAGAGGUAGGCGGAAUGCCUGGUGUAGCGGUGAAAUGCGUAGAGAUUAGGCAGAACACC
This 355-nucleotide ribosomal RNA is filed under the name uncultured bacterium. Its description in RNAcentral is "partial 16S ribosomal RNA". It matches the Rfam family "Bacterial small subunit ribosomal RNA", at positions 338 to 710 of the family's 1533-position model. The record is from RNAcentral.